AUGGAGUAGCCGCAGCUACGUGUACAAGCUUCCACUGAGCUAAACCAGCAGUUAACAGGGCAAGUUUUAGAGUGCCUUUGUUCCGCUUAACAGACACACAAUGCAAUUAAAAUGUCUGUGCAACAUGAACAGGGCCCCUACAUGACAAGAAGAUGUGGCUUCAACUCAGACAUGGUUUUAAUUCAGCUACCCUGUCUCGAUCUUGCCGGUGGGUAGCUUACCCGGUUAGCUGCUAGCUGCUAGUGAUACGUGUGUUCAGCUCGGCUUUUGUGAAAAUCUUAAAGCAGCAGUUCCGUGUGUAUUUGCAGCGCAUCCAUUUUGUGUGUGAUCGAUCUGGUGUUGGUGAGUAGGAGGCUAGGCAGUGUCGAUCUGUGUGGUAGUACCCUUAGCUGCACUAGGGGGCCC
Long non-coding RNA from Etheostoma cragini (Arkansas darter), 405 nucleotides. RefSeq lists it as uncharacterized. The record is from RefSeq and is a predicted model, not a curated record. The transcript has 3 exons. Lineage: Eukaryota; Metazoa; Chordata; Actinopteri; Perciformes; Percidae.